Molecule: ribosomal RNA, 253 nt
Filed under: uncultured bacterium
Lineage: Bacteria
Description: partial 16S ribosomal RNA
Rfam family: Bacterial small subunit ribosomal RNA
Source: RNAcentral
UACGUAGGGCGCGAGCGUUAUCCGGAAUUAUUGGGCGUAAAGAGCUCGUAGGCGGUUUGUCACGUCUGCCGUGAAAGUCCGGGGCUUAACCCCGGAUCUGCGGUGGGUACGGGCAGACUGGAGUGCAGUAGGGGAGACUGGAAUUCCUGGUGUAGCGGUGAAAUGCGCAGAUAUCAGAAGGAACACCGAUGGCGAAGGCAGGUCUCUGGGCUGUUACUGACGCUGAGGAGCGAAAGCGUGGGGAGCGAACAGG